This is a non-coding RNA of Schistosoma mattheei, 45 nucleotides long. NCBI's taxonomy places the organism in Eukaryota, Metazoa, Platyhelminthes, Trematoda, Strigeidida, Schistosomatidae. The record is from Rfam.
AUACAGCUGGUGAGUUCCGAACAAGACGAAACGCGCGUCCUGGAU